Molecule: ribosomal RNA, 497 nt
Filed under: uncultured bacterium
Lineage: Bacteria
Description: partial 16S ribosomal RNA
Rfam family: Bacterial small subunit ribosomal RNA
Source: RNAcentral
GAUGAACGCUGGCGGCGUGCCUAAUACAUGCAAGUCGAGCGAACAGACGAGGAGCUUGCUCCUCUGACGUUAGCGGCGGACGGGUGAGUAACACGUGGAUAACCUACCCAUAAGACUGGGAUAACUUCGGGAAACCGGAGCUAAUACCGGAUAAUAUAUUGAACCGCAUGGUUCAAUAGUGAAAGACGGUUUUGCUGUCACUUAUAGAUGGAUCCGCGCCGCAUUAGCUAGUUGGUAAGGUAACGGCUUACCAAGGCAACGAUGCGUAGCCGACCUGAGAGGGUGAUCGGCCACACUGGAACUGAGACACGGUCCAGACUCCUACAGGAGGCAGCAGUAGGGAAUCUUCCGCAAUGGGCGAAAGCCUGACGGAGCAACGCCGCGUGAGUGAUGAAGGUCUUCGGAUCGUAAAACUCUGUUAUUAGGGAAGAACAAAUGUGUAAGUAACUAUGCACGUCUUGACGGUACCUAAUCAGAAAGCCACGGCUAACUACGUG